CAUCUGGAGUCAGCUUUCAGUAUAAUCUUUUCUUCCUGCAAGCCCUAGAGAUUUGGUCUGCUCACCUUUCUUCUUUCAGGCUGUCACCACCAAUUCUCCGUCCUAUGGUUCAUCUUCCACCAGAAUUCUGGGAAUUCGGGAGAGAAUUCAGAGGCUUCUUGCAUUUUCGAGCUUCUAGAGGACAUCUGCAUUUUUUUGGCUUGUGGCUCCUUUCUCUGCCUUCAAAGCCAUCAGCAUAGCAAUUUAAAAUCUCUAUGACUCUGACUUUAUUUCAUCUUUUAAGGAUCCUUUGAAUUACAUUGUGCCUGUCCAGAUAAUCCAGGAUAAUCUCCCUAAUAAAAAAAAAAACUUAAUUUAGUCACAUUAGAAAAAUUCUUUUUGUCAUGUAACAUAAUAUUCAACAUAUUGACAGGCUUAGGAUGUGGGGAUUACGAUAUGGACAUAUUUGGGGAGCUAUUAUCCUUGCUACUACAAAUAAUAUCACAUUUUCCAUAUCCUAUGGGUCACAUAGGCCAACACUAGUAUAAUGCAGAAGGGGACUACACAAGAAAAUACCAGGAGGUGGAGCUCACUGUGGCCAUUUGGAGGCUGGCUACCAUAAUUUUUUUUUUUUUUUUUUUUUUUGAGACAGGGUCUCCUUCUGUAGCCCAGGCUGGAGUGCAGUGGUGCAACCUCAGCUCACUGCAACCUCUGCCUCCAGGGUUCAAGUGAUCCUCCUACCUCAGCCUCCCAAGUAGCUGGGGCUACAGGCACAAGCCACCACACCCAACUAAUUUUUUCUAUUUUUUGUGGAGAUGGGGUUUUGCCAUAUUGCCCAUGUGGGUCAUAUCACAAUAGUUUUUGAAUAAUUGCUACAUAACUUUGAAAAGUAUUACUUAUUGCUUUAAAAUACAAUAUUGAAACUAAAAUCUUAUACAAUUAUUAACAUUUGCUUUCACUAGAUGGAGAAUAAUAAUGAUGAUGAUGAUAAAAUAACAAUAGCUACCAUUAUUGAGUUCCUAAUAUGUUCUGGGCACUGUACUAAGCUCUUUAUAUAACAUUUCUAAUUUCGUAAUAUGAAAGAUCAAUGAUUCUUAAAAAUCAUUUUACAGAUGAAGAUGUAAGUUCAGAGAAGCUAAAUGAGUUGAAUAAGUUUGCACAAUAACAGUAGAUACAGCAAGAGUUUGAAUAUAGUUUGGUCAAGUCAUGGAAUAUGUGGUUUCCUAUCCCAUCAUUAACUACCAAUGAUCUAAUAUAAUGAAUUCAAUGCUCAUAACCCAGUUUUCCACAUAGUCAUUACUCAACUACAGAUUCUUUAACUGUGUGAUUCUGAAAGAGUAGAGAAUCACAGCUAUUCAUGUAAUUUAUUCUCACCUACAGAUGGCACUUGUGCAAAUAGAAGUUCAAUACAUGGAAGGUACCUCAAUUUCUAAACUUAUACCAAUAAUAAUUGUCAUAUCAGAAAAUUAAAUCCUCAUCCAUUUAAACAGCUUUUCAUUGUUAUUGGCUAUAUUAAAGUAAAAUAAAAGAAACAGUCUCAUACUAAUAUUGUCCAAAUAAAUUCUGAUGUAGUCAUGUAAGCAACAACUGAGACAACAUAAAAGAAGAUUCUUUAGCUUUAGGCAUAUCUUCAAUUUACCAAAGCUCUACAAUGAUCCAUUUUGUAAAGUAGCAACAUCCUAUCUAAGGGCAAGGAUAGGAAUCCUCUAUACUACCCUUUUUUUUGGCCUCUUCUAUUUAUAUAGAAUAUAAUACUCUAUAUUAUAUAGAGUCUAUCUAUGUAGUAGUCUAUGUUGUAGACUCUGUAUAAAUAAUAUGUACUCUAUGUAAAUAAUAUAUAGAAAAAUGAGGUGAAUGUUACUGAAAAGAUUUUAUAUAUAUAUAUAUAUAUAUAUAUAUAUAUAUGUAUGUAUUCAAG
This 1897-nucleotide long non-coding RNA is filed under the name Callithrix jacchus (white-tufted-ear marmoset). RNAcentral describes it as "lncRNA (ENSCJAG00000076023.1)". Lineage: Eukaryota; Metazoa; Chordata; Mammalia; Primates; Cebidae. The record is from RNAcentral.